Long non-coding RNA from Bombina bombina (fire-bellied toad), 583 nucleotides. RefSeq lists it as uncharacterized. The transcript has 5 exons. NCBI's taxonomy places the organism in Eukaryota, Metazoa, Chordata, Amphibia, Anura, Bombinatoridae. The record is from RefSeq and is a predicted model, not a curated record.
UGUACACUAAGAAACAAGGGAUAUGUUGUCAGCUGUACCCGCAUCGCAAGUGGAUAUCGUCUCAUGUAUGACAGUGAAACUUUUGAGAUAAAGACCAAUCUCGAAUUCCAGCUGCAUACCUGGUUAACUAAAUGAACCUUUUUUCCCUGAAGGAUACACUAACACAGGCCCAACAGACAGAGAGACAUUUUUUCUGAAUAUAAACUGGUACCUGACAAUUCUUAACUAACCAAGUACAAACUUCAGAGAGACACGGAUUAGAUUAAUGUAUGUCAAAGGUAUAAUGAAGUUCCCCCGCUCAAACACACAUCCAGCAUAAGCAGAUGAAAGGUGCUUGGGUAUACACAAGAGAGGAACCAAUGGACGAUACUUUGGAACAAACUAGAACAUGCCAGCCCAAACCAUUAACUGGGUUAUGUUUAGAGGAUAUCAGGAAAAAAACUGGAUAAUAUUAAGGGAGAAUGUCAGAAAGCAAGAAUAUAGCCUAUCCACCUCAUUGGGCUGCUCUGGCUGUUGCCAGGGAUGCGGCUGUUGCUGUGAGCGUGCGGCAAUGAUGUCAUCGACGCAUGUCUAUUCCCCUCUC